UUCAAAAGGUGACCGACUAGUUCGCAACGUCCUGUUGCAACGUCGGCAUUAGCACAUCCAUGUGCG
Molecule: small RNA, 66 nt
Filed under: Halalkalibacter nanhaiisediminis
Lineage: Bacteria; Bacillati; Bacillota; Bacilli; Caryophanales; Bacillaceae
Description: Bacillus sp. NH3 Bacillaceae-1 RNA
Rfam family: Bacillaceae-1 RNA
Source: Rfam by way of RNAcentral